Molecule: ribosomal RNA, 253 nt
Filed under: uncultured bacterium
Lineage: Bacteria
Description: partial 16S ribosomal RNA
Rfam family: Bacterial small subunit ribosomal RNA
Source: RNAcentral
UACGAAGGGGGCUAGCGUUGUUCGGAAUCACUGGGCGUAAAGGGCGCGUAGGCGGCUUUAUAAGUUGGGGGUGAAAGCCUGUGGCUCAACCACAGAAUUGCCUUCGAUACUGUAUGGCUUGAGACCGGAAGAGGUAAGUGGAACUGCGAGUGUAGAGGUGAAAUUCGUAGAUAUUCGCAAGAACACCAGUGGCGAAGGCGGCUUACUGGUCCGGUUCUGACGCUGAGGCGCGAAAGCGUGGGGAGCAAACAGG